UGGGGGUUAUUGCACAAUGGGCGAAAGCCUGAUGCAGCGACGCCGCGUGGGGGAUGAAGGCUUUCGGGUUGUAAACCUCUUUCGCUAUCGAACAAGGCCCGCUUAGGGUGGGUUGAGGGUAGGUGGAGAAGAAGCGCCGGCUAACUACGUGCCAGCAGCCGCGGUAAUACGUAGGGCGCGAGCGUUGUCCGGAAUUAUUGGGCGUAAAGGGCUUGUAGGCGGCUUGUUGCGCCUGCUGUGGAAACGCGGGGCUUAACUUCGCGCGUGCAGGGGGUGCGGGCAGGCUUGAGUGUGGUAGGGGUGACUGGAAUUCCAGGUGUAGCGGUGGAAUGCGCAGAUAUCUGGAGGAACACCGAUGGCGAAGGCAGGUCACUGGGCCAUUACUGACGCUGGGGAGCGAAAGCAUGGGUAGCGAACAGG
Molecule: ribosomal RNA, 420 nt
Filed under: bacterium
Lineage: Bacteria
Description: partial 16S ribosomal RNA
Rfam family: Bacterial small subunit ribosomal RNA
Source: RNAcentral